GGGCCCGUGGUGCAGUCUGGUUCAGCACGUCAGAUUGUCGAUCUGAAGACCGCGAGUUCAAAUCUCGUCGGGCCCGCCA
RNAcentral lists this transfer RNA (79 nucleotides) under Candidatus Gygaella obscura. RNAcentral describes it as "tRNA-Asp". It matches the Rfam family "tRNA". Rfam says of the family: Transfer RNA (tRNA) molecules are approximately 80 nucleotides in length. Their secondary structure includes four short double-helical elements and three loops (D, anti-codon, and T loops). Further hydrogen bonds mediate the characteristic L-shaped molecular structure. tRNAs have two regions of fundamental functional importance: the anti-codon, which is responsible for specific mRNA codon recognition, and the 3' end, to which the tRNAs corresponding amino acid is attached (by aminoacyl-tRNA synthetases). tRNAs cope with the degeneracy of the genetic code in two manners: having more than one tRNA (with a specific anti-codon) for a particular amino acid; and 'wobble' base-pairing, i.e. permitting non-standard base-pairing at the 3rd anti-codon position. The record is from RNAcentral. Lineage: Bacteria; Pseudomonadati; Candidatus Omnitrophota.